UCAGUUUUUGGGGUGUGGGUAUCGGAAUGUGUGGUAGGUGAUGUGUGUGUGUAUGGGGGAUGCCGAGGGGACCAGCGGUGCGGUGGUGUGUGCAGGCGUGAGAGUGUAUCUGCAAGUAUGAGGGAUGUGAGUGCAGCGAGUUAGAGGUGGUUCCAUGUGGAAUAGUGGGAUUGGUACGUGAUGGUUGGAUGGGGGAAUGAUGUGUGUAUGGGUGAGGAAAAUCGGAGGUUGCGGUGCGAGCGG
This 243-nucleotide unclassified non-coding RNA is filed under the name Enterocytozoon bieneusi. RNAcentral describes it as "intergenic spacer region". The record is from RNAcentral. Lineage: Eukaryota; Fungi; Microsporidia; Enterocytozoonidae.